This 1173-nucleotide long non-coding RNA is filed under the name Meriones unguiculatus (Mongolian gerbil). RNAcentral describes it as "lncRNA (ENSMUGG00000010032.1)". Lineage: Eukaryota; Metazoa; Chordata; Mammalia; Rodentia; Muridae. The record is from RNAcentral.
UUGUUUUGUUUCAAAAACAGAUAUUUUAGACUCUAACUUCUGUCUCUGUUUCCUGUGUCACUUCCAGAGGAUGCUGACUCCAGGAAUGGAGAAACUUUUUCCACUGCAGGAGAACAAUGUGGCGCCUCCUGGAUCGUGCCGUGUGAGCGUCUCACUAGAAGCUUCUGCAAUCCUCCCAGCAAGGCACUCUCUGAGAUGUGAAGAAGCGGGAAGGAAGUCUCUAUGGUACCAUGGGAACAGGCAGACUGAUGGCAUAGGUAGAGGCGGCAACCCCCCACCACCAGGGAGGAAGACGAUGUCUCUGGACUCAACUCAGAGGUUCUCCGAAGAGAAAGACUUGUUUUUCUCCAGAGAGCAGAGAAGAUAUCUCACGUACCUCACUACACGGUAACCAGGUAACCUGCCAUGCUCGUAGUAGCUGCUUAAUAAGCUCAAGUGACUGUGUGGCUGUUGGCUGGCUCUGGGAGAUGUGGACCCCAGGAGCGCUAGUGGAGGCUGCUGGGGUACUUCCUGUCCUCCAGCUCCCAUAGCCUCUUCUGCGUUGACCCGCUUUUUCCUUUAAGCCAGAAGAUGCUUCCAGGGGCUGCUGCUCUCUAAGUGAUGUGCACGGGUGGAGAAAGGAGAUGGGGCCUCAGCCCGACGACUGUUAGAGCACUCCCUUCCUCCUCCGGUGGGUGCCUAGAGGGCCAGAACUCAUGUGUCCGGAUUGCAGGAUUCCACUCAACUCCUUAGCUAGCCAUCAGUCUGCCCUUCUCAUUCCCUUCCAGCCCUUUUCUCUUUCAUCUCAGCUCAGCGAGCAGAGACACGUCCCCGCUGGAAGCUGCUGUUAAGAAAUGUGGCCACAACACAUGUGGACACACACAACACACACACACACACACACACACCUUUCUCAGUCUAUGAGCCUUUGUCUGGCCCUUUGCUCCUGGGCCUGACCCAUCUUUAUGAGAUCAAGGCUCUUUCUAUCCCAGGAUGCCGAACCCUGGCCUCCAAUGGGACAGAGCUGGUCAUUUUGCACGUCUCCAGCCUUGCCCUCCCUUGGGGGCUUGUGGAAGAUCCACCCAUAUGGCAGAACCUUCCAGAGAGACUCGAAACCAGGAGCCUGACCUCAUGAUGCCCGAAGCGCCUGGCACAGAAGGUACCAGCUCUGAUGUCCUGGCCCGAGCCCAGUUC